Molecule: ribosomal RNA, 444 nt
Filed under: uncultured Gammaproteobacteria bacterium
Lineage: Bacteria; Pseudomonadati; Pseudomonadota; Gammaproteobacteria
Description: bacterial SSU rRNA
Rfam family: Bacterial small subunit ribosomal RNA
Source: RNAcentral
CCGCACGAGCGCACCCCUAUCCUUAUUUGCCAGCACGUAAUGGUGGGAACUCUAGGGAGACUGCCGGUGAUAAACCGGAGGAAGGUGGGGACGACGUCAAGUCAUCAUGGCCCUUACGGAUUGGGCUACACACGUGCUACAAUGGGAAGUACAGAGGGAUGCGAAAGCGCGAGCUGAAGCCAAACCCUUAAAACUUUUCUUAGUCCGGAUUGGAGUCUGCAACUCGACUCCAUGAAGUCGGAAUCACUAGUAAUCGCGAAUCAGAAUGUCGCGGUGAAUACGUUCUCGGGCCUUGUACACACCGCCCGUCACAUCAUGGAAGUGGGUUGCACCAGAAGUGGUUAGUCUAACCUUCGGGAAGACGAUCACCACGGUGUGAUUCAUGACUGGGAUGAAGUCGUAACAAGGUAGCCCUAGGGGAACCUGGGGCUGGAUCACCUCCUU